This 215-nucleotide long non-coding RNA is filed under the name Nicotiana benthamiana. RNAcentral's name for it is "long non-coding RNA (NBEN_LNC000481)". Lineage: Eukaryota; Viridiplantae; Streptophyta; Magnoliopsida; Solanales; Solanaceae. The record is from RNAcentral.
ACAUGUGAAGGCACAGAAACAUCCUUGUUAUCAGACAAGAUGUCAUCAUUACAAGAAACAGAUACAGAAGGCAAUGCAACAACUUUGUUAUUAUUACAAGAAGCAGAUACAGGACAAGCAGAAGUAGAGGAACAAUUAACAGAGGAAGAAGAGGAAGAGGGAACCCAAUUUAGUUUAUACAGCCCAGCAGCUUCUCUACCAAGAUCCAGUGGCCU